Molecule: ribosomal RNA, 492 nt
Filed under: uncultured bacterium
Lineage: Bacteria
Description: partial 16S ribosomal RNA
Rfam family: Bacterial small subunit ribosomal RNA
Source: RNAcentral
AGUGAACGCUGGCGGUAGGCCUAACACAUGCAAGUCGAACCGCAGCACAGUAAGAGCUUGCUCUUACGGGUGGCGAGUGGCGGACGGGUGAGGAAUACAUCGGAAUCUACUUUUUCGUGGGGGAUAACGUAGGGAAACUUACGCUAAUACCGCAUACGACCUACGGGUGAAAGCAGGGGAUCUUCGGACCUUGCGCGAUUGAAUGAGCCGAUGUCGGAUUAGCUAGUUGGCGGGGUAAAGGCCCACCAAGGCGACGAUCCGUAGCUGGUCUGAGAGGAUGAUCAGCCACACUGGAACUGAGACACGGUCCAGACUCCUACGGGAGGCAGCAGUGGGGAAUAUUGGACAAUGGGCGCAAGCCUGAUCCAGCCAUACCGCGUGGGUGAAGAAGGCCUUCGGGUUGUAAAGCCCUUCUGUUGGGAAAGAAAAGCAGCAGGUUAAUACCCCGCUGUUCUGACGGUACCCAAAGAAUAAGCACCGGCUAACUUCGUG